RNAcentral lists this ribosomal RNA (263 nucleotides) under uncultured bacterium. RNAcentral describes it as "partial 16S ribosomal RNA". It matches the Rfam family "Bacterial small subunit ribosomal RNA", at positions 95 to 354 of the family's 1533-position model. The record is from RNAcentral.
CCGGCGCACGGGUGAGUAACACGUAUGGAACCUGCCCUAUGCAGGGGGAUAAGCGGAAGAAUUCCGUCUAAUACCGCAUAACACCUUUAGGAGACAUCUUCUUGGGGGUCAAAGGAGGCGACUCCGGCAUAGGAUGGCCAUGCGUCGCAUUAGCUAGUCGGCGGGGUAACGGCCCACCGAGGCGACGAUGCGUAGGGGUUCUGAGAGGAAGGUCCCCCACACUGGUACUGAGACACGGACCAGACUCCUACGGAAGGCAGCAG